AGGGUUUGAUUAUGGCUCAGAACGUACGCUGGCGGCACGCCUAACACAUGCAAGUCGAACGAAGUAGCAAUACUUAGUGGCAGACGGGUGAGUAACAUGUAGGUAUCUGCCCUUUGGCCUGGAAUAACACGAGGAAACUUGUGCUAAUACCGGAUAAGUCUUUACGGAGAAAGCUUUAUGCACCAUUGGAUGAGCCUGCACUUGAUUAGUUUGUUGGUGGGGUAAUGGCCUACCAAGACUGUGAUCAAUAGCUGAUUUGAGAGGAUGAUCAGCCACAUUGGGACUGAGACACGGCCCAAACUCCUACGGGAGGCAGCAGAGGGGAAUCUUGCACAAUGGAGGAAACUCUGAUGCAGCGAUGCCGCGUGAGUGAAGAAGGCCCUUGGGUUGUAAAGCUCUUUCGUCGGGGAAGAAAAUGACUGUACCCGAAUAAGAAGGUCCGGCUAACUUCGUGCCAGCCGCCGCGGUAAUAC
Molecule: ribosomal RNA, 473 nt
Filed under: uncultured bacterium
Lineage: Bacteria
Description: bacterial SSU rRNA
Rfam family: Bacterial small subunit ribosomal RNA
Source: RNAcentral